UUUUCCUUUCAGGAACACGUUGGGGUGUAAGUACACACACACCGAAUGUAGAUGAAGCCGGUACUAACGCCGGUGUGUACAUCAUCUUGAUUGACGCUGAUGGCAGACAGUCCCCGCCUAUAUACUUGGAUAAUUGGUGGUGGAACGACUUUAUGACAGGUUCCGUAGACUCCUUCGACAUAGACGACCAGGUUAACCUUAGGGACGUCUGCGCUAUCAGAAUCUAUCAUGAUGACAGUGGCUUAUCCGCUGGCUGGUAUCUCGAAAAGGUGUGGAUCAGAAGGGGUUUGCUGAAAAACGAUCGCGUUUUUCAUAUCAACCGCUGGGUCCCAACACAACAAGAAGAGAGUAAAUCACACUAUGUAGUACAGCGCACGCCACCGUGUAGCGCAGGUCACCUGCCGUGAUGGAUCAACGUGGCAAAGGUAGACAGCGGAUGACAAGGAUGGAGAGAAGUAACGUGGCUUUGGAGCAGAUAUCCUGAGGUCAACUUACAGUACUGCAAACUGAAAUUUUGUUUUCGGCGUUUUAACUUUGAAGGCAUCCAGGACUCAAAUAGUUGGUUAAUUUGCUUUUAUUUGUAGAAACUUGCUGGCAUGUCCUAAUAAAGAACGUCUGUUCAUGCAUGAAA
This is a long non-coding RNA of Pomacea canaliculata, 631 nucleotides long. RefSeq lists it as uncharacterized. NCBI's taxonomy places the organism in Eukaryota, Metazoa, Mollusca, Gastropoda, Architaenioglossa, Ampullariidae. The transcript is spliced from 4 exons. The record is from RefSeq and is a predicted model, not a curated record.